GGGUGGUUACAGAGUCUGCAUCAGCUGAUGAUGAAGAGAAUAGGCCAAUAUUCAGAGUGUUCAGUCAAUGCGUUCAAUGUACUGAGAACAUGGUGCAGCGGAAAUGCAGCGAGUGACCCCAUUCCAGUGUUGAUGAAAGCUUAGUCGUCAUCUCCACGGUGAAGGAAGGAUCCAGCUGAACUCCAGCUUUAGCAGCAGUGAAAGCAAGAUGUCUCUUUUUCUAACAACUGCCAGCCUUCAGCAGUCAUCUCUUCCUCGACCUGGUAUUUUGAACACACCAGGAAGAAGCCCACAGAUGCUAGAUGGUGUCGUCUCAUGCCACUUAAAAGGGCACAUUCUACAAAUGACUAGGGAUUAAUUAGCAGAACUGUUGAAAGCAGACACUGCAGGCACCGCAGUAUUGCAAACAAGCCUACAACAGCAAGACUUCAAGAGCAACUCCGAGGCAUGUUCAGUUAGCACAGCAAUAUUGUUAUUUAGCGCCAGCAUCACAACGCCCAAUAUCAACGGAUCCCAGAGCUGGAACACAGAGCAGCGCUACAAGGUAAAUAUAUCUACAUGAGCUUUUCCUUGGUUUUUCCUCCCUGUUGUCAGUAUUAAUUUUACCAGGUGCUGCUCCACUGUUACAUUGCUGGUGAUGGCUCAGGAGUCAGGUACAAAUUGUGCAUAUGGAUAAAAUCUGUAAUAAAGCGAUAUAUUUCCAGCCCUUGUAGCA
Molecule: long non-coding RNA, 715 nt
Filed under: Anser brachyrhynchus (Pink-footed goose)
Lineage: Eukaryota; Metazoa; Chordata; Aves; Anseriformes; Anatidae
Description: lncRNA (ENSABRG00000020180.1)
Source: RNAcentral